CGUUACGCCUUUUUCUUUCUUCAACUGGCUGAGAAUGAAAACUUCCCCCAUAUAAAUAGACUCCCGCCCCGCCCUGGACACAAGGGCCAGAGAGCUCUGGGAUUUCAUCAAAAAUAUCUUUGAUCCGAAGAUGAAGGAAGGUCCUAGUUUUUGAACAACAUGAGGUGUCUCUAGGGAAGUACCGGCAGGAUAUGAGCUCUGAUGGUAAUGCAAGUGGACUGUCCCACCCCCUCUGCUCUUCCCUGCAGUCGAUGCUGACGAGGCCCUGGAGACGUGGACAGAAGAGCACAGAUGUAUGCAGAUACAGAAGAUCCACUGAUCCACAGCGCUGGAGAUAAACAGCAUGCUUGUGAAACUGGUUUGUCUUACUGUAGAGUGUAAUGGUAUAAGACACAUUUGACUUUUAGUGCUCGAGGACUCCCUGUUCUGAAGGCCUUGUGGAGAUUUUUUGAAAGAACCUUAUUAGGUUUUGCAUCUUUUCAAUCAAUAACGAGACAUUAUUACAUAUCAAAGGUCAUUAGUGUGCCAUGAGCCGUUCCCUAAUCUAAGGAAGGAAGUUAUUUGUAAUACGCUGCCAACGUGACAUCUGCUGUACACACAAUAUGGUGGCUAUUUGUUUUUUAUACUUAUAGCAAGAUUAUCUUUGUUAAUCAUUACCAGCUAUAUUUGUUGGUCCACCAGCAUAAAGCACAUUAACCAUUUCAUACAAAUUAUUGAUUUAAACCUAGGUUAAACCUGUAAAAGUGAAACAGAAAUGUGCUGGUCUUUCAUUUGUAUUCAGUUAAUGUCUUGUGCUGUAUAAAUACAAGGCUAGGACAUGACUGGAAUGCAUUUGAAAGCAUUUGUUGGAAAUGCCAUGUCUGCUAAGAUGAAGGAAGAAAGGCCUCGCCCAGGUUUACCUCACAAAGAACUGGAGCUCCCUCUAGUGUUAAAACAAUCUUAUUCAUUUGCAGUGGGACUUAAAGGGAUAGUUCACCCAAAACUGAAUAUUCUAUCAUGGUUUACUCACCCUCAUGUUGUUCCAAACCUCUAUGAGCUGCUUUCUUAUUUUGAACAUCAAAUAAGAUAUUCUGAAGAUUGCUGGUAAUCAAACAGACUUCCAUAGUAUUUUUUUUUCCUACUAUGGAAGUCAAAAGCAACCACCAACUGUUUGAUAACAGCAAUCUUCAAAAAUAUCUUCUGGAAUGACACAUGAGGGUGAGGGAAUGAUGACAAAAUUGUCAUUUUUGGGUGAACUAUCCCUUUAACCCUUCUGGCCAAAAGCUUGGAACAAUUACGAUUAAAAUAAAAUUGUUA
Carassius auratus (goldfish) is the source of this 1296-nucleotide long non-coding RNA. RefSeq lists it as uncharacterized. The record is from RefSeq and is a predicted model, not a curated record. NCBI's taxonomy places the organism in Eukaryota, Metazoa, Chordata, Actinopteri, Cypriniformes, Cyprinidae. The transcript has 3 exons.